CUGGAGCUUUUCUUCUCAUACAUGUAUCAUAACCGUGUGGACUUGACAGGCAUUAACACGGUGUUCAUUUCUCUCCUUCCUAAAAAGGAUACACCACUGGAGCUGCGGGACUUUAGGCCUAUCACCAUUGUUCACAGCAUACCAAAGCUGGCCAGCAAGGUUCUUGCCCGCAGAUUGCAGUGUCAGAUACCGGAUCUUAUUCACUCCUUCUAG
RNAcentral lists this ribosomal RNA (213 nucleotides) under Triticum aestivum (bread wheat). RNAcentral describes it as "partial small subunit ribosomal RNA". Lineage: Eukaryota; Viridiplantae; Streptophyta; Magnoliopsida; Poales; Poaceae. The record is from RNAcentral.